Non-coding RNA from Trichonephila inaurata madagascariensis, 70 nucleotides. The record is from the annotation of a GenBank genome assembly. Lineage: Eukaryota; Metazoa; Arthropoda; Arachnida; Araneae; Nephilidae.
AGAUGUAUAGCUCAGUGGUAGAGCUUUCGACUGUAGAUCGAGAGGUUCCCGCUUCAAACCUGGGUGUCCC